CGCACAUUGCGCCCAUUAGUAUUCUAGUGGGCAUGCCUGUUCGAGCGUCAUUUCAACCCUUAAGCCUAGCUUAGUGUUGGGAAUCUACUGUUGGCGGUGGCUACCCUGUAGCCGCCCUGUAGUUCCUUAAAGUCAGCGGCGGAUUUACAGUGUCCUCUGAGCGUAGUAAUUAUUUUCUCGCUUCUGUCAGGUGCUGUGACUCCUGCCGUUAAACACCCAAAUUUUCAAUGGUUGACCUCGGAUCAGGUAGGAAUACCCGCUGAACUUAA
This 269-nucleotide unclassified non-coding RNA is filed under the name Amphisphaeria fuckelii. Its description in RNAcentral is "Lepteutypa fuckelii partial contains 5.8S ribosomal RNA, internal transcribed spacer 2, and large subunit ribosomal RNA". Lineage: Eukaryota; Fungi; Ascomycota; Sordariomycetes; Amphisphaeriales; Amphisphaeriaceae. The record is from RNAcentral.